This 2295-nucleotide long non-coding RNA is filed under the name Homo sapiens (human). Its description in RNAcentral is "PREDICTED lncRNA (TCONS_00011609)". Lineage: Eukaryota; Metazoa; Chordata; Mammalia; Primates; Hominidae. The record is from RNAcentral.
AUCAUUUAAGUCCAAUAAUCAGUAAGAUUUCACCCUACCAGAAUACACUUUUUUUUAUUAACUGUCUGGACCUUUGCUGAUUACAUUGUCCGGAAUGUGGAGUAUCGCAUUUGAGAAGAGGAUUGGAUCCUAGCCAUAACAUAAAUAUAAGGGUAAUUACAUCCAUGCUGAGAAAGAUUUAGGAAUGAUAGUAAGUUCAUUUGAGUGAGUGGUUUGGGCCAAACUUGAUAGAGAAUAGUCCAGGAAGACAUUUACUAUAAACAGUAGAUUAAAUGUUCUUGCCUGGUUAAUUACAUUUGAACUCUGUUAAUGACUGAAUCACUCAAACUGCUUAAUUGUAUUAUUAGAUGCACAUUUAAGUUAUGUAUUACAUGUCUUUAGUGGUGAUCAGAAUUUUAUCAGUUCCUCUGUCUUUCUUUAUACCAAGUAUGACUCAUAAACCCAGUAUUAAUUUGCCAAGAGAUUGGCAUACUAUUUGUAUAUAUGCUUUUCUUUCAAAUAAUCUGGAUUCCCAAUGCCCACAAUCAUUGAUCCUAAAGAAAAUGUGAGAGUAGGUAGAUAAACUCAAACAUCCCUACCAUCACCCCUGGUAGGAAAUCACUGGUGUAAUGUAUGAUAUUAACAUCUGCACCAAUUACUCUUAUAGGUGGAACAAUCCAAAGUUUUAAUCAGAGAAGGUGGUGUUCAGUUGCUGCUUACAAUAGUUGAUACCCCAGUAUUUGGAGAUGCAGUGGAUAACAGUAAUUGCUGGCAGCCUGCUAUCAAUUACAUUGAUAGUAAAUUUGAGGACUACCUAAAUGCAGAAUCGCAAGUGAACAGAUGUCAGAUGCCUGGUAACAGGGUGCAGUGUUGUUUAUACUUCAUUGCUCCUUCAGGACAUGGAGACAGAUCUCAUUAUGUUGCCCAGGGUGAUCCUUGAUCUCCUGGCCUCAAGUGAUCCUCCAACCUUGGUCUCCCAAAGUGCUGGGAUUACAGAUGUGAACUACCACACCCAGUCAACGUGCAGAAGGUUUUCAGUUUGAUGUAGUCUGAUGUAGUCUCAUGUAUUUAUCCUUGUUGUUGUUGCCUGAGCUUUUGGUGUGAUAUCCAAAAAUAUCAUUGCCAAGAUCAAUAUCAAGAAACUUUCCCCCUAUGUUUCUUACAGAAAUUUUAUGGUUUCAGAUUUUUCAUCUAUUUUGAGUAUAUUUUUGUGUAUGAUGUAAGAUAAGGGUCCAGUCUCCCCAGUGUUGGAUAUCCAAUUUUCAUAACACCAUUUAUUGAAGAGAUUAUUCUUUCUCCACUGUGUUUUCUUGAUGUCCUUGUCAAAAAUUAGUUGACUUUUAUAUGCUUGGGUUUAUUUCUGGGCUCUAUUCUGUUUCAUUGCUUUACAUCUCUGUUUUCAUGCCAGUGCCACAGUGUUUUGAUUACUAUAGCUUUGUAAUAUAAUUUGAAAUCAGAAUGUGUAAUACCUAUAACUUUGUUUUUUGCUCUAAAGAUUUAUUUAUUUAUUUAUUUAUUUUUGCCAUUUCAGGUCUUUUGUGGUUUCAUAUGAAUUUCAGAAUUGUUUUUCCUAUUUCUGUGAAAAAUGCCAUUGACAUUUUGAUAGGGAUUGUGUUGAAUCUAUAUAUUGCUUUGGAUAGUAUGGAUGUUUUAACACUAUUAAUUCUCCCAAUCCAUGAACAUGAAAUAUCUUUCCAUUCACUUGUGUCUUCUUCAAUUUCUUUCAUCAAUGUUUUAUAGUUUUCAUUGUGCAGAUCUUUCACUUACCUGGUUAAAUUUAUUCCUACAAUUUCAUUCUUUUUGAUAUUAGGGUAAAUUGAAUUAUUUUCUUGAUUUCUAUAAAUUAUUUAUUAUCAUACUCAUACUUGUCAGGCCUCUGGGCCCAAGCCUGCAUGUAUACAUCCAGAUGGCCUGAAAUAACUGAAGAAUCACAAAAGAAGUGAAAAUGGCCAGUUCCUGCCUUAACUGGUGACAUUACCUUGUGAAAUUCCUUCUCCUGGCUCAGAAGCUCCCCCGCUGAGCACCUUGUGACCCCCGUCCCUGCCCACCAGAGAACAACCCCCUUUGACUGUAAUUGUCCACUACCCACCCAAAUCCUAUAAAACAGCCCCACCCCUGUCUCCCUUCACUGACUCCUUUUUCAGACUCAGCCUGCCUGCACCCAGGUGAAAUAAACAGCCUUGUUGCUCACACAAAGCCUGUUGGUGGACUCUCUUCACACAGAUGCGCAAGACAAUACUAACACCAAUAUUAUUUUGAUUCGUCAGAUGGAAAAGUAAGGCUUGAAGAGGUUAGAAAUAACUUUUCCAAGGUCAC